GGAACUUGAAGCACAACAAGGGCAAACAACUUCUCUAAAGUCACACAUCGCCAGUCAGGAGGCUGCCCGGAACUGGAGACUAGCCUGCUUUCUGAGAAGGAAAUCAAGAAAACAGAAACACCACCACACACUUUGGUGGAUGAGCGCGGCCACCUCAAUCAGUAACCUUCCUUCAGCUACGUUCUGUCACGAGGCGGCCCAAGGGCAGCAAGUCAGGACAAGCCCCAGAAAAAGGAAGCAUCCUGUGCAUUUUAUUUAAGUGAACUGACAGAAGAUGCAAUCUCUCAACCAUCUAUGGAAAGACGUAGCUCAUAGAGUCACAGCAUCUUUGAGCUAGAAGAUAACUCCUGUUCUACAUAUGAGGCUAGUUCCUUUCUGCAUCGGAUGAGAUGAAAAACGAGAAGAGGCAGCAGAGAUUUGAGAAACAAGGAGAAGGCCCCAUUAGAUGAGGGAUAGCGGCCAAUGAAACAUGUACAGUGAUGUCCUCAGCACUUUACAGAAGACAGAAAAGCAACCACAGUAAAACGAUUGCAAAAUUGAGACCUAAGAGUGUCUCUCACCCACAGCCCAGAGUUAGUGGAAACACGAAGCAGAGGACACUAAAGCCAUUCCUGCAGCUUAGAAAACUGGUCCUGAGCUUUGUGAUUCAGAGAGGCUUCAACUGAGAGAAGAGGGGAACUGACCAAUGGUCCUCAGAUAUCAGUGGGCAGGAAAGGAAGAACAUACAAUGUGAUAUUGAGGUCUGAACUGGAUGGAUCUUAGACCCUGAACCUCUCUAAGCCAGUGCUCCCCAAGGCCUGGAAGAAUUCCUAGAGGCAGAAGGAAAAACAGUGAUGAGAUGAGGAAGAACAUUAAUUUAUCAGCUUAUUACAAUUGGCAAACUGUGGAAAGAGUCAAGAUGCCCUUCAACAGAUGAAUGGAUAAAGAAGAUGUGGUCCAUAUAUACAAUGGAAUAUUACUCAGCCAUCAGAAAGGAUGAAUACUCAACUUUUGCAUCAGCAUGGAUGGGACUGGAGGACAUUAUGUGAAGACCCAUUCCUAUACAAUUACUUCUGGAUCAGCACUGUUGGGUGUUGGCACUAAAGAGUUAUUAAGGAGGAGGAGUGCCUGGCUGGCUCAGUCCAUAGAGCACAAAACUCUUGAUCUUGAGGAAUUUCAAGUACUGUCUAAACAACCACAAGAGUCUCCACUAAACACUAAAAAUCAUUUGGAAUUUUUUGAGAAUGUAAUGGGUUCAAAAAGAUACAUGGAGGAAGCAGCUGAAAAGCAGAAACAGAUUGGAGCCACACUGCCUGAAUCCUUUCAGCUCACUUUUUCGACUCCCUGAGAAGCCGUCUCAGAAAAGAGUCUUCUGACCUAUGAAGCCUCUCGUUUUUCCCACUGAAGGCCUUCUUCUAGAGCAGCAGUUCCUCCAGUGUGGUUCAGGGACCCAGGGGUCCCUAAUGUGGGAGGUUGGUGAGAUAAAGAACCACUUCUGUGGGGCGCCUGAGUGGCUCAGUGGGUUAAAGCCUCUGCCUUCGGCUUGGGUCAUGAUCCUGGGGUCGUGGGAUCGAGCCCCGCAUCAGCCUCUCCACUCAGUGGGGAGCCUGCUUCCCCCUCUCUCUCUGCCUGCCUCUCUGCCUACUUGUGAUCU
Molecule: long non-coding RNA, 1633 nt
Organism: Mustela lutreola (European mink)
Lineage: Eukaryota; Metazoa; Chordata; Mammalia; Carnivora; Mustelidae
Exons: 10
Source: RefSeq, a predicted model, not a curated record